AAUCAACGCUGGCGGCGUGCCUAACACAUGCAAGUCGAACGAGAAAGUGGAGCAAUCCAUGAGUACAGUGGCGCACGGGUGAGUAACACGUGACUACCUACCCUCGAGUGGGGAAUAACCUCGGGAAACCGGGGCUAACACCGCAUAAUAUCUACGGAUCAAAUGCGAAAGCAGCUUGAGGAGGGGGUCGCGGCCGAUUAGCUAGUUGGUGAGGUAAUGGCUCACCAAGGCAAUGAUCGGUAGCCGGCCUGAGAGGGCGCACGGCCACACUGGGACUGAGACACGGCCCAGACUCCUACGGGAGGCAGCAGUGGGGAAUCUUGCGCAAUGCGCGAAAGCGUGACGCAGCAACGCCGCGUGAGGGAAGACGGCCU
This 374-nucleotide ribosomal RNA is filed under the name uncultured bacterium. RNAcentral describes it as "bacterial SSU rRNA". It matches the Rfam family "Bacterial small subunit ribosomal RNA", at positions 29 to 417 of the family's 1533-position model. The record is from RNAcentral.